This 253-nucleotide ribosomal RNA is filed under the name uncultured bacterium. RNAcentral's name for it is "partial 16S ribosomal RNA". It matches the Rfam family "Bacterial small subunit ribosomal RNA", at positions 524 to 776 of the family's 1533-position model. The record is from RNAcentral.
UACAAAAAAAACAAGCGUUGUUCAAAAUUACUGGACGUAAAGAGCGCGUAGGCGGUUUGCUAAGUUGAAUGUGAAAACUCUGGGCUUAACCCAGAGCCUGCAUUCAAUACUGGCAGGCUGGAGUUCUGGAGGGGAUAGCGGAAUUCCUGGUGUAGCGGUGAAAUGCGUAGAUAUCAGGAGGAACACCGGUGGCGAAGGCGGCUAUCUGGACAGAAACUGACGCUGAGGCGCGAAAGCUAGGGGAGCAAACAGG